GAGAAAGCCAAUGUACGAACAAGAAAAAAACGUUGUUAUAUGUAUGGCUGAAUACAGGUACGUGUACGAAAUUGUCACAACACCCUCCUAGAUGCUGACCCACUUCAAUGGUGGAGAAUGCAUGCACGCUGUUGGAUAUCAUCCCCUGGCAAAACUUGCAGGCAAAUACUUGUGUAUUUGUGGUUCAAGGUCCUCGUCCGAACGACUUUUAGUGUUGCUAGCAACAUAGUUAGAGCCAAACGGUCAUUAGGCUACUAAAACCGCACAACGUCGAUAUGUUGGUUUUUCUGGCUAAAAACUUGUGAAUUCUAUAAACUUUUGAAUUGUAUAUUUGCUAUGGUUGUUUCCUGUGAUGCUUACACGCGGUAUUCAUAUUGUUUUAUUAAUUAUAAGUCAGAUUAAAUUGACAUAUUCAAUUAUAUACCCAGCGCGCAACAGCUAACUCUAUAAAUACCUACGGUAAUAUAUUACUAAUUACAUAAUGGAAUCUAUCGGUGUUUUGCCAGAACCAAACUAUACACUCUCAUCUCAAAUACUGUCUCUGUUUGGAACACGCUCUACAGUUCGAGAAUGAAGCGAAGAAGAACAACGAGAGGAAGAUAACAUCGAAAAAGGAGAGUGCCACUGUUGUCUGGAAACCGUCAAACAUAACGAACUGCGCCGUUGGCUCGGGGAUAAACGGCCAUUUACCGAGGGCCAUAUCUCAAGCUAUUCUUCUUUUUUUUAAUUUCCACCCUCAACCGAUUUCUUUCUUUGUCUCUAAAAACUAUACUGGUCGCGGACUCGUAAUAAUGCAGCAAACCGUCCAGACAGGGGAACCCUUCACUACGUUCUCUUCACCACCAAAACGCCAUGUUGUGGACAUAUUAUUCACUGUGACUGUUUCAAAACAUGGGCGGAAACCUCAGCUAAUGAUGCAUCAGUACGUUGUGCCUACUGUAGAAAAUUAUAUCCCUACAAAGAACUCUGUUUCCUAUGUUUAAAGAAAAAAAAUAAGCGAUGAACUUUUUACGAAAACGACCUGCUGCCACUUUACAAUACAUACAACAUGUAUAGAAAACCUCCGAAUUGUACUCUCGUUGCUAUCCUUUGAACCCACGCUGGAGUGGGGAAAAGCUACGCCGUGCGGUUGUCUUUGGCUUAAACUAUAAACAUUUAUGUUAGAUUAUAUACAAACAGUUAAAACUAUAUCUUUCCUAGUAAACACAUUAUAUUCUUUCAGAGUUUAAAAAUAAAACUCUUCAAAACUUCUAUCUUCGUUAAUUUAUUCACUUCGUCCGCACACCCCUUCCCCUUAACGCAACAAUAAAUGAACACACAAUGCGAAACAUUUCAAAUAUAUACUUAAAAUCAUAAUGUUACAAAAAAUAAAGUUUUACUUUAUAUGUUUACAACACAAACGUAUUUAGAAGUUUGCUAAACAAGAAAGUUCCG
Molecule: non-coding RNA, 1434 nt
Organism: Paramuricea clavata
Lineage: Eukaryota; Metazoa; Cnidaria; Anthozoa; Malacalcyonacea; Plexauridae
Source: the annotation of a GenBank genome assembly